GAUGAAGAACGUAGUGAAAUGCGAUACUUGGUGUGAAUUGCAGAAUCCCGUGAACCAUCGAGUCUUUGAACGCAAGUUGCGCCCGAAGCCAUUAGGCCGAGGGCACGCCUGCCUGGGCGUCACACGUCGUUGCCCCCCCAUCUACUCCUUCGGGAUUGCGGGGGGCGGAUGAUGGCCUCCCGUGCGCCACGCCGCGCGGUUGGCAUAAAUGCCAAGUCCUCGGCGACGCACGCCACGACAAUCGGUGGUUGCGAAACCUCGGUUGCCCGUCGUGUGCGGUCGUCGCGCAUCGAGGGCUCGAAAAAAUUGCCGGGUUCCGGCUCGGCUUUCAACGCGACCCCAGGUCAGGCGGGGUUACCCGCUGAAUUUAAGCAUAUCAAUAAGGCGGAGGA
RNAcentral lists this unclassified non-coding RNA (392 nucleotides) under soil metagenome. Its description in RNAcentral is "partial contains 5.8S ribosomal RNA, internal transcribed spacer 2, and large subunit ribosomal RNA". The stretch from base 1 to 122 matches the Rfam family "5.8S ribosomal RNA", at positions 35 to 154 of the family's 154-position model. The record is from RNAcentral.